AAAGCAUAAGAACAUAAAACUCAUCUUUCAUGUCCUUAGUCUGAAAUCAGAUUCAGCUACUGUCCUUGCAUCUGUUUGAAGUUGGUAUGGGUUGAGGUGAACACCUGGCUAUUUUAGAAUGCUUUUUUUCCUCCCCUGUUGUGAACUUUUCCCAUUCUACAAAGCUUUCUUUUUUAGUUGCCAAGUUGGUUGCAAUUCUUUUGAGUUACUGAAGCUCAUGGGGAAACCAGAAGGGCGGCAGAAACGGUGAGGGCGGUUCAGGUUUUAAACAUGAAUAUUCUUGGAUGCAUAGGAUUACAGUAUAAUGUUUUGUUGUAAAUUAAAUACUCGUUUAAUGAUUGAAAAUUAUGGGGAAGUCAGCAGAAAAAUAUUGUGACAUCUGCUUAAUUGGAUUAUUUUCCUUUAUUAAAGGCUGGUAUAGAAAGAAACUACAUGUACACUCUUGACAGCUAUUGAUGUGCUGAGUCUGAUUCCUUGGAUGAAUACUAGGCAAAAACUCUAUCAAAAUUAGUGACCUACAUUAUGGUCAUGGAUUAAAUCCUUGCUUAGAACCAGCCUCAGAUGACAUCUGUUUGUCAUGAAAUAAAAUCUGGCUUUAACUUUUCAUACCAAUUGCACUUCAUUUGUCAGUUUGUUUUAACUUGUGUGCAGGUUAACAUUAUUAUCAGAGAGUUUGACUUUGUAGUGUGCUCAUGCUAUGAUUAGUAACACUGCAGGUCAGUGUGCUCUGUUGUUAAUACCUAUGGGACUGGGAGCUCAGUGCCUGUACAUCUUUUAAAGUAGGGCACUGAAUGAGAGAGGCCAAGGCAUUUGUAGCUGUUGGGCUGUGGUGCCACAGCUUUGGCUGCAGUGCUCAUUGCUAUAUCUGCUUUCAGUUACCUGUUUUCAGGCAUUUCUUAAGCCUGGUGGUUUUAGACCUCCACAGUUAAAGGAGUGUCCUGUACAAACAAAGGUGGAUUUUCCUGUUUGUUUUAAAGCAGUUGACAAUAAAACACAAAAACUAUUUCCAAACAGGGCUCUCAGAUGCAAAGGAUAUUCCUUGACCUCUUCUUUUAGCACCUGUUAAAAGGUUUGGAGUUCUGGGAUGUUCUUGAAUCAACCUGCAAAAUGGCCACAGCUUGGAGGACACCUGCCUUUUGCCACCAGCCAUUCAUGUUAAACCACUGCAGCACCAAUGGGGAGCUUUAGCUAAGAAGACACUGCUGGCAGCACUGAGAAUAGUGGAAGUCCUGUAACCACCAUCACACCCUCUGUCAUCUGCGAAAAAUGAAAAUUUUAAGAAGGCUUUUCCUUUAAAACAAAUGUUCAUGAAUGUCACUGCUGCACCUUUGUGAUUUUAAAUUCAAGUUGUAAACAGUCACAGAAUAAAGUUAUGUGUUUUACACA
RNAcentral lists this long non-coding RNA (1386 nucleotides) under Taeniopygia guttata (zebra finch). RNAcentral's name for it is "lncRNA (ENSTGUG00000028903.1)". Lineage: Eukaryota; Metazoa; Chordata; Aves; Passeriformes; Estrildidae. The record is from RNAcentral.